This 444-nucleotide ribosomal RNA is filed under the name uncultured bacterium. RNAcentral describes it as "SSU rRNA". It matches the Rfam family "Bacterial small subunit ribosomal RNA", at positions 26 to 518 of the family's 1533-position model. The record is from RNAcentral.
AGAGCGAAUGCUGGCGGCAUGCUUAACACAUGCAAGUCGCACGGUCAGCAAUGGCAGUGGCGGACGGGUGAGUAACACGUAGGAAUCUAUCCUGGGGUGGGGGACAACAGUGGGAAACUACUGCUAAUACCGCAUGAUACCUGAGGGUCAAAGGCGCAAGUCGCCUUGGGAGGAGCCUGCGUCUGAUUAGCUUGUUGGUGGGGUAAAGCCUACCAAGGCUACGAUCAGUAGCUGGUCUGAGAGGAUGAUCAGCCACAUUGGGACUGAGACACGGCCCAAACUCCUACGGGAGGCAGCAGCGGGGAAUAUUGGACAAUGGGCGAAAGCCUGAUCCAGCAAUGCCGCGUGUGUGAAGAAGGUCUUCGGAUUGUAAAGCACUUUUGGCAGGGACGAUGAUGACGGUACCUGCAGAAUAAGCCCGGCUAACUUCGUGCCAGCAGCCGC